UAUUUUUAUACAUUGGAACAACCCGGAUUAACUAUGAUAAUUUAAGGCCAAGAUUAUUCCGGGAUUUGAAGUCGGGACUUUUGACCAUUUGAUUUUAAUUUGAGAUAUAAGUCAUGUAUGAAAUUGAUGGCAUUGAACACUUAGGGAAAAUUGGGACUACAAUUCAUAAAAUUGGAACUAAAAUGUUGUUCAAAAAAAAAAAUUCCUUGGUGGCCAUGUAAAUGGGAAUUGGUCCCACACAUUGUGUGGCCAAUUUUAAUUGGUCCACCCCAUGUGUGGGCCAUGGACACUUGGACAAUAUUCAUAUAAGCACAAAAGAUGACCAAGUAGUCAUCUUUUCUACCAUUCCAUCAAAAAAAAAAAAAAGAGCAAGAAGUUGAAGAACAACUUCAACCACACGGCCAAGAACAAAAAAAAAAACAAAUCCAAUUCAAGCCAUCCCAAAAUUAUUUCUUUGGUGUAAACCCACUAUUUUGAGGUCCCUAAGUAGUGUGGAAGUGUUGUUGGGGCGAUCAAAUCAUCCGUUUGGCAAGAUCACAAACCCUAACUAUUUGUGGGAUUGAAGAAGAAAGACUUUGGGGAGCCCGAGGCGUAGAUUUGGAUUAGCUUUAGAUUGAUUCGCUUGGAGUGCGUACGAGGUACAGACGCACAGCCUGGUGAUCCACCUGUUUAGGACACCCUUUCUACUAUUCGGAGUGCUCCUCUCUUUCCGGAGCUUAUACUUUUGGUAUAUAUAUUUAUUAGUGCAUUUGUAUAUAUUCGUUCAUGGGUACGGCGGGGCCCUGUCCCGUCAUAUGAUUCUGUCGGUCUGUUUAGAGGUCUGUGGACAUGUUUGUGGGUUAGGGUCUUUCUGUAUGAAUGUAUGUACAUGUCGUUUGGGCGAUCACAUACGCCGAGGCGGCCGGUCCGCAUAUGUUGUUUGGGCGACCCUAUACGCCGAGGCGGCCGGUCCGCAUAUGUUUAUAUAUUGCUUGGUUAGCCCUGUGUGGCUUUCGUUGGUA
This is a long non-coding RNA of Lycium barbarum (goji berry), 1001 nucleotides long. RefSeq lists it as uncharacterized. The record is from RefSeq and is a predicted model, not a curated record. NCBI's taxonomy places the organism in Eukaryota, Viridiplantae, Streptophyta, Magnoliopsida, Solanales, Solanaceae. The transcript is spliced from 3 exons.